Molecule: long non-coding RNA, 529 nt
Filed under: Coturnix japonica (Japanese quail)
Lineage: Eukaryota; Metazoa; Chordata; Aves; Galliformes; Phasianidae
Description: lncRNA (ENSCJPG00005016405.1)
Source: RNAcentral
CUAAAAUUAAAGGCCAACUACUCAACCUGGAUCCUACAAACAUGCUUUAACAGAAAAGUGUUUACAAUUAAAAUGUACCAAGUUGGGAAGGCUAUGUGGCUCUACAGUGUACAUUACCACUGAUGCCUAUAGAGUCGAACAGAUUAGUACUGUUUCUUAUUGAAUGAAGACUUCAUUUUCUGCUGGGGCACAGCACUAACCAGCUGUACUUUCAGGGAGAGGAGCCAGGAGCUGAACAUGAUGACACAGUCAGGAUCUCAUCCCACAGACUGCAAGCAAGGUUCACUGGCAGGAACUACCACUGACAUCCAGCAAUGUGAUUGUUGUAUAUAUCUAGCUCACAGCCAGUUAUACAAUGGAUCCAUUACAGCUGCAUCCAAAGUGGAGGACUUAACACAUUUAUUGCCUUUUUGACAAGAAAAGGAUGGGAAAGAACUAAAUGUACCUGCUACACAAACUUUGUGUUUAAGAAAAAGGUAUGUUUAUUUGCCAGGAACUCUGAAGAGGUAAGAAAGAAGUCACAUGAGAA